RNAcentral lists this ribosomal RNA (465 nucleotides) under Vreelandella stevensii. RNAcentral's name for it is "partial 16S ribosomal RNA". It matches the Rfam family "Bacterial small subunit ribosomal RNA", at positions 338 to 795 of the family's 1533-position model. Lineage: Bacteria; Pseudomonadati; Pseudomonadota; Gammaproteobacteria; Oceanospirillales; Halomonadaceae. The record is from RNAcentral.
CCUACGGGAGGCAGCAGUGGGGAAUAUUGGACAAUGGGGGGAACCCUGAUCCAGCCAUGCCGCGUGUGUGAAGAAGGCCCUCGGGGUGUAAAGCACUUUCAGUGAGGAAGAACGCCUGGUGGUUAAUACCCAUCAGGAAAGACAUCACUCACAGAAGAAGCACCGGCUAACUCCGUGCCAGCAGCCGCGGUAAUACGGAGGGUGCGAGCGUUAAUCGGAAUUACUGGGCGUAAAGCGCGCGUAUGUGGCUUGAUAAGCCGGUUGUGAAAGCCCCGGGCUCAACCUGGGAACGGCAUCCGGAACUGUCAAGCUAGAGUGCAGGAGAGGAAGGUAGAAUUCCCGGUGUAGCGGUGAAAUGCGUAGAGAUCGGGAGGAAUACCAGUGGCGAAGGCGGCCUUCUGGACUGACACUGACACUGAGGUGCGAAAGCGUGGGUAGCAAACAGGAUUAGAUACCCCUGUAGUC